AGAGCACUCUGGAAGGGGAGUUUCGAUUUCUCUUUUGCGAUUUCUUAAGAUCUACUCUUUGUCGAUUCAUAUUUUUGAUCAAUCGGUUCUUGUGUGUUUAUUCUCACUUGAUCUGCUUGUUUCAUUAUCAGGAUUGCUAGAUCUGAUUGUUUCGUGUCUCAUACUGAUAGAUCUAAGAAUUUCGAUCAAGUUUUGAACAAAACCUUUUCACAUUCUUGUCGAUUACGUUAUCGUUUUGCUUGAUCCGAAAGUUUCUUGUGAUUGUGUGACUCGAUCUGUUGUUAGAAUCAUAGAUCAGGAUUUGAUUGCCUCAUUUCAUCAUCUGUUGAAUCUGAUCUGUUAUUGUUUCAAUUUCGAAAAGAUAGAAUUCAAAUCGUCGCGUGUUGAUCAAGUAUCUUCAUUUGCCGCUUUGUUUGAAUACUUUGUUUCCUUAUUUGAAUCUUGAGUUCUGAAUUCUUUUGAACUACUUACUGGUUCAAGUUUUUCGUAUAUCAGGAAGCAAUGGGGUCUGAGGAGGAUGAUGAAACCUUUGUACGAAGGAAUAGAUUGCUGCAAGAAGCAAUCACCAAACAAGUGAUGGAAGCGAUGGUGAAGUUACUGGAAGAGAAGUAUGAUCAGAGACCGCAUGAUGGGCAAGGACAAGCAUCUGGUUCAAGACAUGAGCAAAGAAGAAACAGACAAGGUCAGCGUGAGCAUGCUGGAUCAGAAGAGACUGAUAACUUCUAUGAGAGAAGUAGCCAUAGCUCCGGUUCAAGACGUAGCAGUAGAAGAUCUCGACGUGAUCAUGAGGGCCGGAGGCAUAGACGCAAUGAGCUAUCAGGAUUAAAGCUUAAGAUCCCUCCUUUCCAUGGUAAAGCUGAUCCAGAUGCCUAUCUUGAGUGGGAGAAGAAGAUCGAACUCGUUUUCAACUGUCAGCAUUACUCAGAGACUAAGAAGAUUCAAGUAGCUGCUACCGAGUUCAAUGAUUAUGCAUUGAGCUGGUGGGAUCAGUUGGUCACAAACAAGAGGCGCAAUGGUGAAUUCCCCAUUGAAACAUGGGCAGAGAUGAAGGCUGUGAUGCGCAAGAGGUUUGUACCAAGUCAUUAUCACCGUGAUCUUCAUCAAAAGCUGAGACUGCUCACACAAGGAUCAAAGUCUGUAGAGGAAUACUUUCAAGAGAUGGAGUUGCUUAUGCUAAGAGCUUGUGUAUCUGAGGACAGUGAAGCUACCAUGGCACGAUUUCUUGGUGGACUCAACCGUGAGAUACAAGAUAGAGUGGAGAUGCAACACUACUUGGAGAUAGAGGAGAUGCUACACAAAGCUAUCUUGGUGGAACAGCAAGUUAAGAGAAGAAGUUAUGCGCGUGGCAGCUAUGGUUCCAAUAGAUACCAGACCUCUAAGGAAGAUAAACCGAGCUAUCAAAAGGAGAGCAAGCCACAGCCAAAAGAAGAAUCCAAGUCUAGUAGCAUCUACAACAAAGAUAAGGGUAAAAUGGAAGCUACAAGCUCGCGUGCAAGAGAUGUGAAGUGCUUUAAGUGCCAAGGGCGUGGGCACUAUGCUAAUGAGUGUACUAACAAGAGAGUUAUGAUUCUUCUGGAGAAUGGAGAGUUUGAAUCUGAAGAUGAGAAACUAAGGACUGAUCAAGAACUAUCAGAAGUUGAGCAUGAGGAGGAACCAGUUCAAGGUAGACUUUUGGUUGCAAGAAGAACUCUCAGUUUGCAAAACAAAACAGAGGAGCAAGAACAAAGAGAGAACUUGUUCUACACACGUUGUCUGGUGCAAGGAAAGGUCUGCAGCCUGAUCAUCGACGGUGGAAGCUGUGUUAAUGUUGGUAGCGAGACAAUGGUGAAGAAGCUUGGUUUGAAAGCUCAAAAGCAUCCUAAACCUUACCGGCUGCAAUGGCUUAAUGAAGAGGGCGAGAUGAGGGUAUCUACUCAGGUCUCUAUACCCUUGACCAUUGGGAGGUAUGAAGAUGACAUUCUCUGUGAUGUGAUACCCAUGGAAGCCAGCCACAUACUACUGGGAAGGCCUUGGCAAUUUGAUAGGCGUGUCAUCCAUGAUGGCUUCACCAACAAACAUUCUUUUGAGUUCAACGGCAAGCGAACUGUCUUGGUACCUCUAACUCCUAAAGAAGUGCAUGAAGAUCAGCUUCAGCUUCAGAAAAAGAAAGAGGUUGAUCUCAAACCAGAUAAGCAACACAACUUCUAUGCUAAAGCUAGUGAAAUCAAAAGAUCUCUUUAUUCUCAUCAAUCGGUUCUCUUAUUUAUCUUUAAAGAAUCUCUUUUGUCUCUAACUGAUUGUACACCGGUGUAUCCGAGUGAGAUGUCAGCUCUUUUACAGGAAUACCAGGAUGUAUUUCCAGAAGAUAAUCCCAUAGGAUUGCCACCUAUUCGAGGGAUUGAGCAUCAGAUUGAUUUUGUACCAGGAGCUACUCUUCCCAACAGACCAGCAUACAGAACUAAUCCUGUGGAAACCAAGGAGCUACAAAGGCAGGUUGAGGAACUGAUGGAGAAAGGCCAUAUCCGUGAAAGUAUGAGCCCAUGUGCUGUGCCUGUGCUCCUUGUUCCAAAGAAAGAUGGGAGCUGGCGUAUGUGUGUUGAUUGUAGAGCAAUCAACAACAUAACAGUGAAGUAUCGCCACCCUAUUCCUAGAUUAGAUGAUAUGCUUGAUGAGUUGCAUGGUUCUAGUGUCUUUUCUAAGAUAGAUUUGAAGAGUGGAUAUCAUCAAAUAAGAAUGAAAGAGGGAGAUGAGUGGAAAACAGCCUUUAAGACUAAGCAUGGGUUGUAUGAGUGGUUAGUCAUGCCUUUUGGAUUAACCAAUGCUCCUAGCACUUUUAUGAGAUUGAUGAAUCAUGUGCUUAGAUCUUUCAUAGGUUUGUUUGUGGUAGUAUACUUUGAUGAUAUCCUUGUUUACAGUAAGAACCUAGGAGAGCAUAUAGAUCAUCUUAAGUCUGUUCUUGAUGUGUUGAGAAAAGAAAAACUGUUUGCUAACCUUAAGAAAUGCACUUUUUGUACGGAUAACUUGGUCUUCCUAGGCUUUGUUGUGAGUGCAGAUGGAGUAAAGGUGGAUCAGGAGAAGGUGAGAGCAAUUCAAGAAUGGCCAAUUCCAAAGACUAUAAGUGAAGUAAGGAGCUUUCACGGCCUUGCUGGCUUCUACCGACGGUUUGUGAAAGACUUUAGCACCAUAGCAGCCCCAUUGACUGAGGUGAUCAAGAAAGAAGUUGGAUUCAAAUGGGGAGAAGCACAAGAACUUGCCUUUCAAUGCCUAAAAGAGAAGCUUACUAAUGCCCCUCUUCUUAUACUUCCUGAUUUCAAUAAAACUUUUGAAAUUGAAUGUGAUGCCUCAGGAAUUGGAAUUGGUGCUGUUCUUAUGCAGGAGAAGAGACCCAUAGCUUAUUUCAGUGAGAAGCUUGGAGGCGCCACUCUCAACUAUGCAACUUAUGAUAAGGAAUUGUAUGCCUUGGUGAGAGCUUUGCAGACUUGGCAGCAUUACUUGUGGCCCAAGGAGUUUGUGAUACACACGGAUCAUGAGUCUCUCAAGUACUUGAAAGGACAGAACAAGCUCAGCAAAAGACACGCAAGGUGGGUUGAGUUCAUUGAGACAUUUCCUUAUGUCAUCAAGUACAAACAAGGUAAAGAAAACAUAGUUGCUGAUGCACUAUCUCGAAGGUAUGUUCUCUUAAACACUCUUGAUGCUAAGUUGUUAGGUUUUGAGCAGAUUAAAGAGAUGUAUGAAUCUGAUCCAGAUUUUAAAGAAGCUUUAUAACUCUUGUGAGAAAUUUGCUGCUGGACAUUAUUUUAGACAUGAUGGAUUCCUCUUUUAUGAUAAUAGACUGUGUGUGCCUAAUUGCUCUUUGAGAGAUUUGUUUGUUAGGGAAUCACAUGGAGGAAGUCUCAUGGGUCACUUUGGUAUUGCAAAGACUCUUAAAACCUUGCAGGAUCAUUUCUUUUGGCCUCGGAUGAAAAGUGAUGUGGAGAAACUAUGUGAGAGAUGUGCAACUUGCAAGCAAGCUAAGUCUAAGGUUCAGUCUCACGGUUUGUAUACUCCUCUCCCUAUUCCUUAUCAUCCUUGGAAUGACAUAUCUAUGGAUUUCAUUGUUGGAUUGCCUAGAACUAGGACUGGGAAGGAUUCUAUCUUUGUUGUUGUUGACAGGUUCUCAAAAAUGGCACAUUUCAUAGCAUGUCAUAAAACUGAUGAUGCAUUGCAUGUAGCUAACCUGUUCUUUAAGGAGAUUGUGCGUUUACAUGGUAUGCCUAGGACCAUAGUUUCUGAUAGGGAUACUAAGUUUCUUAGUUAUUUUUGGAAAACUCUUUGGUCUAAGCUAGGCACUAAGUUGUUGUUCUCCACUACUUGUCAUCCGCAAACUGAUGGACAGACUGAAGUAGUUAAUAGAACUCUAGGAACACUCUUGCGUGCAUUCAUUAAAAAGAAUCUGAAAUCUUGGGAAGAUUAUCUGCCACAUUGUGAAUUUGCAUAUAAUCAUGCUGUGCAUUCUGCUUCUAAGUUUUCACCCUUUGAAAUUGUUUAUGGGUUCAAUCCCACCUCUCCUUUGGAUUUAAUCCCUUUACCUGAGUGUGAAAGGGUCAGUUUGGAUGGCAAAAAGAAGGCAGAGAUGGUGAAACAACUUCACGAGCAAGCUAGGCUCAACAUUGAAGAGAAAACUAAGCAGUAUGUCAAGCAUGCCAACAAAGGAAGGCGUGAAAUGGUCUUUAAGGAGGGUGAUAAAGUUUGGGUUCAUUUGAGAAAAGAGAGGUUUCCUAAUGAGAGGAAGUCAAAGCUUAUGCCAAGAAUUGAUGGACCUUUUGAGAUCACAAGGAAGAUCAGCAACAAUGCCUACAAGAUUGAUCUCCAAGAUAAGUAUGAUGUGAGUAAUAGCUUCAAUGUUACUGACUUGAUCCCUUUUAUUGCAGAUGAACCUGAUUUGAGGUCAAAUCCUUUUCAAGAGGGAGGGGAUGAUAUGAUCAUGGACCAGCCAGCUGAUGGAGAUAGAGAUGGCGAGUUUAGAGAUGAACCAGCUGAAGAAGAUGAGGUCUUAACCAUUCCUAAAGGUCCCAUGACUCGAGCCAGAGCUAGGAAACUCAAAGAAGCUAUUGGAGGACUAAUCAGGAAGUCCUUGGAGCAAGAAGAAUGUCUUGGAGGAAGCUUGAUACUUCAAGAUACGCUUAUCACCAUUCAAGCCAUCUUACCAUCAAGUUGAGUAUCAUCUAGGCUAGCAAGCUAUGUGUGCUCUUUUCCUAUCAUUGUUUUUGUCCCAUUGGGUUUUGCAAUGAUAGGUUUUUAACGAGGCCAUAGUCUUGCUAUCUUAUCACCUAGUUGAUACUCUCGGACCAAACCACAUGAAGAACCUUAUGCUAUCUUUAUUUCUAAGUAUUUAUGUCUUUCAUUUUCGAAAACUCUAUCUAAGUUGUGUCUUUACUUCUACAUUAAUUGGAGGAGCCUGUUCCUUUAAUUUCGAAAUGCUUGGAGCCUGUUCCAAGCCUUUCACUAUAUAUAUGUGUAACUCGGCAACCCUAGCAUCUAUCAAGUUUUCUUUCAUUUAAACCUUUGUGUUUUCUUCUCCCUUGCUUUCACGAGUUAAGAGAGUGUCUGGUGUGUAGUAUCCAGUCUGUUGGUGUGUAAUAUCCAACGCCCAAGGGCUUUAGAAAGGUGUGUCAUAUCCGAUCUAAGUCUAGGAGUAUCAAGGAGCCUUUCCGCAGCCUCUUGUGUCACCAUUCGAUCCACAGCCUUGAUAAACUUGAGUCUUUGAUUCGUUUAUGCAAGGAUCUAUCCAAACCAUCCAGAGAAGGGUCCUAGGAUCUCAUUAAGUGGUAUCAGAGCACUCUGGAAGGGGAGUUUCGAUUUCUCUUUUGCGAUUUCUUAAGAUCUACUCUUUGUCGAUUCAUAUUUUUGAUCAAUCGGUUCUUGUGUGUUUAUUCUCACUUGAUCUGCUUGUUUCAUUAUCAGGAUUGCUAGAUCUGAUUGUUUCGUGUCUCAUACUGAUAGAUCUAAGAAUUUCGAUCAAGUUUUGAACAAAACCUUUUCACAUUCUUGUCGAUUACGUUAUCGUUUUGCUUGAUCCGAAAGUUUCUUGUGAUUGUGUGACUCGAUCUGUUGUUAGAAUCAUAGAUCAGGAUUUGAUUACCUCAUUUCAUCAUCUGUUGAAUCUGAUCUGUUAUUGUUUCAAUUUCGAAAAGAUAGAAUUCAAAUCGUCGCGUGUUGAUCAAGUAUCUUCAUUUGCCGCUUUGUU
Molecule: long non-coding RNA, 6205 nt
Filed under: Brassica napus (rape)
Lineage: Eukaryota; Viridiplantae; Streptophyta; Magnoliopsida; Brassicales; Brassicaceae
Description: long non-coding RNA (BNAP_LNC003933)
Source: RNAcentral